This 828-nucleotide ribosomal RNA is filed under the name marine gamma proteobacterium BB2FL1. RNAcentral describes it as "bacterial SSU rRNA". It matches the Rfam family "Bacterial small subunit ribosomal RNA", at positions 32 to 863 of the family's 1533-position model. Lineage: Bacteria; Pseudomonadati; Pseudomonadota; Gammaproteobacteria. The record is from RNAcentral.
AACGCUGGCGGCAGGCCUAACACAUGCAAGUCGAGCGGUAACAUUUCUAGCUUGCUAGAAGAUGACGAGCGGCGGACGGGUGAGUAAUGCUUGGGAACAUGCCUUGAGGUGGGGGACAACAGUUGGAAACGACUGCUAAUACCGCAUAAUGUCUACGGACCAAAGGGGGCUUCGGCUCUCGCCUUUAGAUUGGCCCAAGUGGGAUUAGCUAGUUGGUGAGGUAAUGGCUCACCAAGGCGACGAUCCCUAGCUGGUUUGAGAGGAUGAUCAGCCACACUGGGACUGAGACACGGCCCAGACUCCUACGGGAGGCAGCAGUGGGGAAUAUUGCACAAUGGGCGCAAGCCUGAUGCAGCCAUGCCGCGUGUGUGAAGAAGGCCUUCGGGUUGUAAAGCACUUUCAGUCAGGAGGAAAGGUUAGUAGUUAAUACCUGCUAGCUGUGACGUUACUGACAGAAGAAGCACCGGCUAACUCCGUGCCAGCAGCCGCGGUAAUACGGAGGGUGCGAGCGUUAAUCGGAAUUACUGGGCGUAAAGCGUACGCAGGCGGUUUGUUAAGCGAGAUGUGAAAGCCCCGGGCUCAACCUGGGAACUGCAUUUCGAACUGGCAAACUAGAGUGUGAUAGAGGGUGGUAGAAUUUCAGGUGUAGCGGUGAAAUGCGUANAGAUCUGAAGGAAUACCGAUGGCGAAGGCAGCCCCUGGGUCAACACUGACGCUCAUGUACGAAAGCGUGGGGAGCAAACAGGAUUAGAUCCCUGGUAGUCCACCCCGUAAACGAUGUCUACUAAAACCUCGGAACCUCGGUCUGUUUUUCAAACUACCCAUUAA